RNAcentral lists this unclassified non-coding RNA (22 nucleotides) under Mus musculus (house mouse). RNAcentral describes it as "oocyte_clustered_small_RNA9908". Lineage: Eukaryota; Metazoa; Chordata; Mammalia; Rodentia; Muridae. The record is from RNAcentral.
UCAUUGGUACUGCUCAGGCUAA